RNAcentral lists this ribosomal RNA (982 nucleotides) under Kocuria sp. RNAcentral's name for it is "bacterial SSU rRNA". It matches the Rfam family "Bacterial small subunit ribosomal RNA", at positions 43 to 1037 of the family's 1533-position model. Lineage: Bacteria; Bacillati; Actinomycetota; Actinomycetes; Micrococcales; Micrococcaceae. The record is from RNAcentral.
CGUGCUUACCUGCAGUCGAACGAUGAUCUCCCGCUUGCGGGGGUGAUUAGUGGCGAACGGGUGAGUAAUACGUGAGUAACCUGCCCUUGACUCUGGGAUAAGCCUGGGAAACCGGGUCUAAUACUGGAUACGACCUUUCGCCGCAUGGUGGGGGGUGGAAAGGGUUUGACUGGUUUUGGAUGGGCUCACGGCCUAUCAGCUUGUUGGUGGGGUAAUGGCUCACCAAGGCGACGACGGGUAGCCGGCCUGAGAGGGUGACCGGCCACACUGGGACUGAGACACGGCCCAGACUCCUACGGGAGGCAGCAGUGGGGAAUAUUGCACAAUGGGCGGAAGCCUGAUGCAGCGACGCCGCGUGAGGGAUGACGGCCUUCGGGUUGUAAACCUCUUUCAGCAGGGAAGAAGCCACAAGUGACGGUACCUGCAGAAGAAGCGCCGGCUAACUACGUGCCAGCAGCCGCGGUAAUACGUAGGGCGCAAGCGUUGUCCGGAAUUAUUGGGCGUAAAGAGCUCGUAGGCGGUUUGUCGCGUCUGCUGUGAAAGCCCGGGGCUCAACCCCGGGUCUGCAGUGGGUACGGGCAGACUAGAGUGCAGUAGGGGAGACUGGAAUUCCUGGUGUAGCGGUGAAAUGCGCAGAUAUCAGGAGGAACACCGAUGGCGAAGGCAGGUCUCUGGGCUGUUACUGACGCUGAGGAGCGAAAGCAUGGGGAGCGAACAGGAUUAGAUACCCUGGUAGUCCAUGCCGUAAACGUUGGGCACUAGGUGUGGGGGACAUUCCACGUUCUCCGCGCCGUAGCUAACGCAUUAAGUGCCCCGCCUGGGGAGUACGGCCGCAAGGCUAAAACUCAAAGGAAUUGACGGGGGCCCGCACAAGCGGCGGAGCAUGCGGAUUAAUUCGAUGCAACGCCAAGAACCUUACCAAGGCUUGACAUUCACCGGAUCCCCCCAUAGAUGGGGUUUCCCUUUCGGGUCGGUGGAACGG